UACGGAGGGUGCAAGCGUUGUCCGGAUUUAUUGGGCGUAAAGCGAGCGCAGGCGGAAAGAUAAGUCUGAUGUGAAAGCCCCCGGCUUAACCGAGGAAUUGCAUCGGAAACUGUGUUUCUUGAGUGCAGAAGAGGAGAGUGGAACUCCAUGUGUAGCGGUGGAAUGCGUAGAGAUCGGGAGGAACACCAGUGGCGAAGGCGGCCUACUGGGCUUUAACUGACGCUGAGGCACGAAAGCAUGGGUAGCAAACAGG
This 253-nucleotide ribosomal RNA is filed under the name uncultured Lactobacillus sp. RNAcentral describes it as "partial 16S ribosomal RNA". It matches the Rfam family "Bacterial small subunit ribosomal RNA", at positions 524 to 776 of the family's 1533-position model. The record is from RNAcentral. Lineage: Bacteria; Bacillati; Bacillota; Bacilli; Lactobacillales; Lactobacillaceae.